UACAGAGGGGGCUAGCGUUGUUCGGAAUUACUGGGCGUAAAGGGCGCGUAGGUGGCCUGUUAAGUCGAACGUGAAAUCCCCGGGCUCAACCCGGGAACUGCGUCCGAGACUGGCAGGCUCGAAUCCGGGAGAGGGAUGUGGAAUUCCAGGUGUAGCGGUGAAAUGCGUAGAUAUCUGGAGGAACACCGGUGGCGAAGGCGGCAUCCUGGACCGAGAUUGACGCUGAGGCGCGAAAGCUAGGGGAGCAAACGGG
RNAcentral lists this ribosomal RNA (253 nucleotides) under uncultured bacterium. Its description in RNAcentral is "partial 16S ribosomal RNA". It matches the Rfam family "Bacterial small subunit ribosomal RNA", at positions 524 to 776 of the family's 1533-position model. The record is from RNAcentral.